UACGUAGGAGGCAAGCGUUGUCCGGAUUUAUUGGGUUUAAAGGGUGCGUAGGCGGCCCUAUAAGUCAGUGGUGAAAGCCGACAGCUUAACUGUCGAACUGCCAUUGAUACUGUAGGGCUUGAGUACAAAUGAGGUAGGCGGAAUUGAUGGUGUAGCGGUGAAAUGCUUAGAUACCAUCAAGAACACCGAUUGCGAAGGCAGCUUACUAAGAUGUAACUGACGCUGAGGCACGAAAGUGCGGGGAUCAAACAGG
Molecule: ribosomal RNA, 253 nt
Filed under: uncultured bacterium
Lineage: Bacteria
Description: partial 16S ribosomal RNA
Rfam family: Bacterial small subunit ribosomal RNA
Source: RNAcentral